Molecule: ribosomal RNA, 254 nt
Filed under: uncultured bacterium
Lineage: Bacteria
Description: partial 16S ribosomal RNA
Rfam family: Bacterial small subunit ribosomal RNA
Source: RNAcentral
UACGGGGGGAGCAAGCGUUGUUCGGAUUUACUGGGCGUAAAGGGCGCGUAGGCGGCCAGCACAAGUCAGUUGUGAAAUCUCCGAGCUUAACUCGGAAAGGUCAACUGAUACUGUGCGGCUAGAGUGCGGAAGGGGCAACUGGAAUUCUUGGUGUAGCGGUGAAAUGCGUAGAUAUCAAGAGGAACACCUGCGGCGAAGGCGGCUCUCUGGGACGGUACUGACGCUGAGACGCGAAAGCGUGGGGAGCGAACAGG